RNAcentral lists this ribosomal RNA (1534 nucleotides) under Phocaeicola vulgatus. RNAcentral's name for it is "bacterial SSU rRNA". It matches the Rfam family "Bacterial small subunit ribosomal RNA". The record is from RNAcentral. Lineage: Bacteria; Pseudomonadati; Bacteroidota; Bacteroidia; Bacteroidales; Bacteroidaceae.
UAUUACAAUGAAGAGUUUGAUCCUGGCUCAGGAUGAACGCUAGCUACAGGCUUAACACAUGCAAGUCGAGGGGCAGCAUGGUCUUAGCUUGCUAAGGCCGAUGGCGACCGGCGCACGGGUGAGUAACACGUAUCCAACCUGCCGUCUACUCUUGGACAGCCUUCUGAAAGGAAGAUUAAUACAAGAUGGCAUCAUGAGUCCACAUGUUCACAUGAUUAAAGGUAUUCCGGUAGACGAUGGGGAUGCGUUCCAUUAGAUAGUAGGCGGGGUAACGGCCCACCUAGUCUUCGAUGGAUAGGGGUUCUGAGAGGAAGGUCCCCCACAUUGGAACUGAGACACGGUCCAAACUCCUACGGGAGGCAGCAGUGAGGAAUAUUGGUCAAUGGGCGAGAGCCUGAACCAGCCAAGUAGCGUGAAGGAUGACUGCCCUAUGGGUUGUAAACUUCUUUUAUAAAGGAAUAAAGUCGGGUAUGCAUACCCGUUUGCAUGUACUUUAUGAAUAAGGAUCGGCUAACUCCGUGCCAGCAGCCGCGGUAAUACGGAGGAUCCGAGCGUUAUCCGGAUUUAUUGGGUUUAAAGGGAGCGUAGAUGGAUGUUUAAGUCAGUUGUGAAAGUUUGCGGCUCAACCGUAAAAUUGCAGUUGAUACUGGAUAUCUUGAGUGCAGUUGAGGCAGGCGGAAUUCGUGGUGUAGCGGUGAAAUGCUUAGAUAUCACGAAGAACUCCGAUUGCGAAGGCAGCCUGCUAAGCUGCAACUGACAUUGAGGCUCGAAAGUGUGGGUAUCAAACAGGAUUAGAUACCCUGGUAGUCCACACGGUAAACGAUGAAUACUCGCUGUUUGCGAUAUACAGCAAGCGGCCAAGCGAAAGCGUUAAGUAUUCCACCUGGGGAGUACGCCGGCAACGGUGAAACUCAAAGGAAUUGACGGGGGCCCGCACAAGCGGAGGAACAUGUGGUUUAAUUCGAUGAUACGCGAGGAACCUUACCCGGGCUUAAAUUGCAGAUGAAUUACGGUGAAAGCCGUAAGCCGCAAGGCAUCUGUGAAGGUGCUGCAUGGUUGUCGUCAGCUCGUGCCGUGAGGUGUCGGCUUAAGUGCCAUAACGAGCGCAACCCUUGUUGUCAGUUACUAACAGGUUCCGCUGAGGACUCUGACAAGACUGCCAUCGUAAGAUGUGAGGAAGGUGGGGAUGACGUCAAAUCAGCACGGCCCUUACGUCCGGGGCUACACACGUGUUACAAUGGGGGGUACAGAGGGCCGCUACCACGCGAGUGGAUGCCAAUCCCAAAAACCUCUCUCAGUUCGGACUGGAGUCUGCAACCCGACUCCACGAAGCUGGAUUCGCUAGUAAUCGCGCAUCAGCCACGGCGCGGUGAAUACGUUCCCGGGCCUUGUACACACCGCCCGUCAAGCCAUGGGAGCCGGGGGUACCUGAAGUGCGUAACCGCGAGGAGCGCCCUAGGGUAAAACUGGUGACUGGGGCUAAGUCGUAACAAGGUAGCCGUACCGGAAGGUGCGGCUGGAACACCUCCUUUCU